RNA transcript from Malaclemys terrapin pileata, 1044 nucleotides. RefSeq lists it as uncharacterized. Lineage: Eukaryota; Metazoa; Chordata; Testudines; Emydidae. The record is from RefSeq and is a predicted model, not a curated record. The transcript has 3 exons.
CCAAUGGGGUAGCAGCGCCGCCUCCCAGCCCCACGCGCUCCAACGGCCGCAACCGUAACGUGUCUCCUUCCCCCUUCCCCUGCCAGGCACCCCAUGCGGUGAGUCACUUCCGGACCAGCUGCGGGGGAGCUCCAGGCCUGCGGGAGAGCCGAAAUGAAAAAUGCCUUAUCGGUGGAUGCCUUAUUAUCGGGGAGGUCUUAUUAUCGGGGGGAUGCCUUAUAUUACAACGAGAGGCAAAACUAAGCACCUGGCACUGGCCGCCGUCAGAAGACAGGAUCCUGUACUAGAUGGACUAUUCGUCUGACCCACUACAACAGUUCUAAUGUUCAGCAAAAAUUACAAUCAAUUUUUGCCUUUGACAUGGAUGUUACAUGAGAGACUAUACAGCCUUUAUUGAAUAUUUGCGAAUUGAGUUCUACACACAAGCAAUGGCAUGCAGAAAAAAACAAAGGGCGGGAUUGAGAGGCAAAACAGCAGUUGCAAAAGGCAAUCGCCAUUGAAUAAAAAAAUUUUUUGAGACCAGCCCAGAAAUUCAGUCAGGCUGGAAGUCAGAUGAUCCAGCAGAAUAACCUUCUGCUCUAAAAAUAAGAAGAAAAAGUUAGAAUUAAAAAUUCCAAAUGAGAAAUCACAGUAAAAAACCAGAGCAAGUGCAAUACCAGAAACACAGAUGUUGCUGCUAAAACUAGCAAUUUCUUACUGCUGCAUAUUUUCAAGGAGGACUUGUUGGUAAAAUAUAAAUUAAAUAGCACAAUGACCUGCAUCUGCACAAUAACAAAGCAAAAUGACGAAGUGAUAAAAGUAAUUCAGGGAAUCCCAGCAGCAGAGAAGACAAAUUGGUGAACUUCUGUGAGACUUUAUGCAGCCAGAUACACUGAUAAGGGAUUCUUUGGUUCUGUAAAGGAUUUCACUGAAUGAAGUAUCCGAGGGGAAGCCGUGUUAGUCUGGAUCUGUAAAAAAGCAACAGAGUCCUGUGGCACCUUAUAGACUAACAGACGGAUUGCAGCAUAAGCUUUUGUGGGUGAAUGCCCCUUCAUCAUCUGAUGA